CGGGAGAGGGGACAAGAAGCGCUUGUGCUGGCGGGCAGCGCUAGGGGACAAGUUGCAGUUGCUUCCCAUUUGAUAACUCUAUGAACUUUUGGAUGUCAGCGGUAUAACAAGUCAAUGGAGAAGAGAUGAAUCCCUUUCUAGAACUCUGAUGGAAAGGACUCCUGGCUCAGACUCCACCUCUUGAUUUUGAGGUCCAUCCCCUCAAGCCAGAGGAUUGGGCACCAAUAAAGUCCCUGUAGAAAGAAAAGCUGCAUCCCAGCUGGGGAGGGCCUUCCCGGAUUCUCCUCAUUGCUGCAACUGCCCUAUAAAAACUACUGAACACAGUUGGACUGAUUACUCCAAGGUACAAGGUGAAGAAACUGAGGUGACCUCAUUUCUUCUGACCCUGUAACGUCUUCUCUUGAGUUAUGUCUCUCACACGUGAUGAUAACCCUGCCUGGUCUCCUGUGGAAAGGUACCAGAGACUUGUAGCUUGGUUGUUUGAUCCUUGGUGUUUGGGAAUAGAUUGGGAGAUGAAGUGGAUGCAGUGGGAUGAGAUGAACCAUAAUGGAACCAGAAUUCCCCUGAAGGAAAUUUGCUGGGAAUCACAGGGACCUUUGCAAGAUCCUUCUUCCUUUAGGCUUAUUUGUGUA
This is a long non-coding RNA of Sarcophilus harrisii (Tasmanian devil), 632 nucleotides long. RefSeq lists it as uncharacterized. Lineage: Eukaryota; Metazoa; Chordata; Mammalia; Dasyuromorphia; Dasyuridae. The record is from RefSeq and is a predicted model, not a curated record. The transcript is spliced from 3 exons.